Molecule: ribosomal RNA, 376 nt
Filed under: uncultured organism
Description: partial 16S ribosomal RNA
Rfam family: Bacterial small subunit ribosomal RNA
Source: RNAcentral
GUAGGUGGCAAGCGUUGUCCGGAAUUAUUGGGCGUAAAGCGCGCGCAGGCGGUUCUUUAAGUCUGAUGUGAAAGCCCACGGCUCAACCCGUGGGAGGGUCAUUGGAAACUGGAGAACUUGAGUACAGAAGAGGAAAGCGGAAUUCCACGUGUAGCGGUGAAAUGCGUAGAGAUGUGGAGGAACACCAGUGGCGAAGGCGGCUUUCUGGUCUGUAACUGACGCUGAGGCGCGAAAGCGUGGGGAGCAAACAGGGAUUAGAUACCCUGGUAGUCCACGCCGUAAACGAUGAGUGCUAAGUGUUAGGGGGUUUCCGCCCCCCUUAGUGCUGCAGCUAACGCAUUAAGCACUCCGCCUGGGGAGUACGGCCGCAAGGCUG